UAAUACGAAGGGUCCAAGCGUUGUUCGGAAUCAUUGGGCGUAAAGCGCGCGCAGGCGGAUCAGUAAGUCAGGUGUGAAAUCUCGAAGCUCAACUUCGAAAUUGCGCCUGAAACUACUAGUCUAGAGUGUCGGAGGGGGCAGGGGAAUUUCACGUGUAGGGGUAAAAUCCGUAGAGAUGUGAAGGAACACCGGAGGCGAAGGCGCCUGCCUGGACGACUACUGACGCUGAGGCGCGAAAGCGUGGGGAGCAAACAGG
RNAcentral lists this ribosomal RNA (256 nucleotides) under uncultured bacterium. RNAcentral's name for it is "partial 16S ribosomal RNA". It matches the Rfam family "Bacterial small subunit ribosomal RNA", at positions 521 to 776 of the family's 1533-position model. The record is from RNAcentral.